RNAcentral lists this ribosomal RNA (253 nucleotides) under uncultured bacterium. RNAcentral describes it as "partial 16S ribosomal RNA". It matches the Rfam family "Bacterial small subunit ribosomal RNA", at positions 524 to 776 of the family's 1533-position model. The record is from RNAcentral.
UACGAAGGUGGCAAGCGUUGUUCGGAUUUACUGGGCGUAAAGGGUGCGUAGGUGGUUAGGUAAGCCCUCCGGGAAAUCUUCAGGCUUAACCUGAAAAGGUCGGGGGGGACUGCCUAGCUAGAGGGCGGGAGAGGAGCGCGGAAUUCCCGGUGUAGCGGUGAAAUGCGUAGAGAUCGGGAGGAAGGCCGGUGGCGAAGGCGGCGCUCUGGAACGUUUCUGACACUGAGGCUCGAAAGCGUGGGGAGCAAACAGG